RNAcentral lists this ribosomal RNA (497 nucleotides) under uncultured bacterium. RNAcentral describes it as "partial 16S ribosomal RNA". It matches the Rfam family "Bacterial small subunit ribosomal RNA", at positions 28 to 507 of the family's 1533-position model. The record is from RNAcentral.
GAUGAACGCUGGCGGCGUGCCUAAUACAUGCAAGUCGAGCGAACGGACGAGAAGCUUGCUUCUCUGAUGUUAGCGGCGGACGGGUGAGUAACACGUGGAUAACCUACCUAUAAGACUGGGAUAACUUCGGGAAACCGUAGCUAAUACCGGAUGAUAUUUUGAACCGCAUGGUUCAAAAGUGAAAGACGGUCUUGCUGUCACUUAUAGAUGGAUCCGCGCUGCAUUAGCUAGUUGGUAAGGUAACGGCUUACCAAGGCAACGAUGCAUAGCCGACCUGAGAGGGUGAUCGGCCACACUGGAACUGAGACACGGUUCAGACUCCUACGGGAGGCAGCAGUAGGGAAUCUUCCGCAAUGGGCGAAAGCCUGACGGAGCAACGCCGCGUGAGUGAUGAAGGUCUUCGGAUCGUAAAACUCUGUUAUUAGGGAAGAACAUAUGUGUAAGUAACUGUGCACAUCUUGACGGUACCUAAUCAGAAAGCCACGGCUAACUACGUG